RNAcentral lists this transfer RNA (78 nucleotides) under Armatimonadota bacterium. Its description in RNAcentral is "Armatimonadetes bacterium (hot springs metagenome) tRNA-Pro". It matches the Rfam family "tRNA". From Rfam's summary of the family: Transfer RNA (tRNA) molecules are approximately 80 nucleotides in length. Lineage: Bacteria; Bacillati; Armatimonadota. The record is from RNAcentral.
CGGGGCGUAGCGCAGCUUGGUUAGCGCGCCAGUUUUGGGAACUGGAGGCCGAGAGUUCAAAUCUCUCCGCCCCGACCA